Molecule: long non-coding RNA, 1185 nt
Filed under: Nicotiana benthamiana
Lineage: Eukaryota; Viridiplantae; Streptophyta; Magnoliopsida; Solanales; Solanaceae
Description: long non-coding RNA (NBEN_LNC009799)
Source: RNAcentral
AGACACACAUGGGGAACAAGGGGACACGGAAAAACUUUUUGAACACUUCAAGACCUUGGCCGAUACAGCCCCUCAUUUUUUUUCUUGAGAUUCUUUUGUUAAAAUAAAACACACUACAAAAGAUAAAACACCAUCAGAUUUGAGGGGAGUUCAUUUUUCUUGUAGAUUUUUACACAUGGAGAUACAUUGAGAUUUCAUCUUCUCCAACCUUACAAGGCAAACAAAAAACCCUAGGUGUUAUCUCCUUCUUGGGGAAAAAAAAAGAACCAAACCCUAAACCAGCCGGCCCCCUCCGUUGCAACCACCAGUCUAGGCCCGUCAUUGUUCAGCUCCUCCGCUGCCAGCACAGCCCGUCGUACACCACCCAAAAAAGCACCAGCUCCAUUAUCAGACCAGUCCCCAUCUCCCUCCGUCAUCGCGACCCACUAAACGACUAGUCUAGCCUCGUCCAAACGACCUCACUGCCGGACAACACCCAUCGAGAGCAGCUGCUGCUCGCAGCUCGCCGGAUUAACAAGCUCCAGCUGGGCAGCAACAACCAGAACGCAGCCUCCUCUCCUGUUUAUCAGCCGGGCUUCCGUCGCCUGAGAGGUCCCAGUGCUGUCGUUUUUCCGUUCGAGUUCGUCGAGUUCCGUCCAGGUUUGAUUUGAGAUCGUUGUACUUUGUUUCCGGUUCGAGGUUCAGGUCCUUAGCUCGCUUGUUGGUUCAUUGUAUCGGAAGCUUCUGUCACAGUAUACGUUAAGGAAAACGCAGCAAUAAAGGCUCGUUUUCUUUUCCAAUAUCGUUCUUCUCGCUACUGUUUUGGGUCAUUUUCGUAUUCGAUUUAGUUUUGUAUGGCUGGACGUUUAAUUGAUUAAUAUGAUUGGUGUCCUUUAUUAGCUCAAAGCCUCUGUUAAUUUUGCCAGUUUUAAAAUUCGUCUGUAGUUUUGCUAUAUAAGAUACGGACGAACGAUGUCACUUUUUCUUUAAAUGUAUGUGUUUGUUUAUGAGAAGAUUGCUGCUAACGUUAGUUUAAACCUGCUAAUUGGUAACAUAUUCCUAGGUUCUAGUUGCUAUUGCCGUUGGAAACCCAAUUCAUUUUGAUCUUUUUGCCUUACAAUGUUGUAGUAUACAUAUUAUUUUAGACCUUUUGUUACUUUAUUCGAUAUGAAGAAUCAAAGCAGCGCAUAUAAAAGUGAUUUUAAC